ACGGAGGGUGCAAGCGUUAUCCGGAUUCACUGGGUUUAAAGGGUGCGUAGGCGGGCCGGUAAGUCCGUGGUGAAAUCUCUGAGCUUAACUCGGAAACUGCCAUGGAUACUAUGGGUCUUGAAUACUCGGGAGGUGAGCGGAAUAUGUCAUGUAGCGGUGAAAUGCUUAGAUAUGACAUAGAACACCAAUUGCGAAGGCAGCUUGCUACAGAGUUAUUGACGCUGAGGCACGAAAGCGUGGGGAUCAAACAGGA
Molecule: ribosomal RNA, 253 nt
Filed under: uncultured prokaryote
Description: partial 16S ribosomal RNA
Rfam family: Bacterial small subunit ribosomal RNA
Source: RNAcentral